RNAcentral lists this ribosomal RNA (484 nucleotides) under uncultured bacterium. Its description in RNAcentral is "partial 16S ribosomal RNA". It matches the Rfam family "Bacterial small subunit ribosomal RNA", at positions 30 to 507 of the family's 1533-position model. The record is from RNAcentral.
AUUGAACGCUGGCGGCAGGCCUAACACAUGCAAGUCGAGCGGAUGAAGGGAGCUUGCUCCUGGAUUCAGCGGCGGACGGGUGAGUAAUGCCUAGGAAUCUGCCUGGUAGUGGGGGAUAACGUCCGGAAACGGGCGCUAAUACCGCAUACGUCCUGAGGGAGAAAGUGGGGGAUCUUCGGAUCUCACGCUAUCAGAUGAGCCUAGGUCGGAUUAGCUAGUUGGUGGGGUAGAGGCCUACCAAGGCGACGAUCCGUAACUGGUCUGAGAGGAUGAUCAGUCACACUGGAACUGAGACACGGUCCAGACUCCUACGGGAGGCAGCAGUGGGGAAUAUUGGACAAUGGGCGAAAGCCUGAUCCAGCCAUGCCGCGUGUGUGAAGAAGGUCUUCGGAUUGUAAAGCACUUUAAGUUGGGAGGAAGGGCAGUAAGUUAAUACCUUGCUGUUUUGACGUUACCAACAGAAUAAGCACCGGCUAACUUCGUG